Molecule: ribosomal RNA, 206 nt
Filed under: uncultured bacterium
Lineage: Bacteria
Description: partial 16S ribosomal RNA
Rfam family: Bacterial small subunit ribosomal RNA
Source: RNAcentral
GCGUAGACGGUAUGGCCAGCCAGCUGUGAAAGCCCGGCGCUCAACCCCGGGACUGCAUUUGGAACUGUCAGGCUAGAGUGUCGGAGAGGUAAGCGGAAUUCCUAGUGUAGCGGUGAAAUGCGUAGAUAUUAGGAGGAACACCAGUGGCGAAGGCGGCUUACUGGACGAUGACUGACGUUGAGGCUCGAAAGCGUGGGGAGCAAACA